AUCACUUCUCGGCCUUUUGGCUAAGAUCAAGUGUAGACUGGAUACUGUUACUCAUAUUUGCAGAUCUGGCAAAUUAAUUUGUCAGUCUGCUUUGUGCUAAUUAAGGUAUCAGAGACAAACUACAUCUA
This is a small nuclear RNA of Papio anubis (olive baboon), 128 nucleotides long. Its record names the gene U2. It matches the Rfam family "U2 spliceosomal RNA". Rfam says of the family: U2 is a small nuclear RNA (snRNA) component of the spliceosome (involved in pre-mRNA splicing). Complementary binding between U2 snRNA (in an area lying towards the 5' end but 3' to hairpin I) and the branchpoint sequence (BPS) of the intron results the bulging out of an unpaired adenosine, on the BPS, which initiates a nucleophilic attack at the intronic 5' splice site, thus starting the first of two transesterification reactions that mediate splicing. The record is from Ensembl. Lineage: Eukaryota; Metazoa; Chordata; Mammalia; Primates; Cercopithecidae.